ACACUCGGCCAAUCAGCGGCCGCCCCUGGAGCUGAGGGGGCGGGGCCGAGGCUUGAGUCCCGAAGAGGCGCUUGGCGACAGGAAAAGGGGACGUGGAGUGGCAGGCGCGCUGGCCAAUCGGGACGAGAGGAGCGAAUCUUGGCGAGUGAGUGGGGUUUGGCGCGUGGAAGACUUGAAGGCGUUACAAAACGAGUUACAAUGUGAACGUGUGUGCCUGCGGUGGAGGAGACUUGUAGUCAUCUUCCCAGCCCACUGGACCACUCUCUCUUGGGGUGUGAUACCUUCUGCAGCAGAAUGGCUGACUGGCCAGAGGUUCCCGUCACUUUGAACCCUGAGCCAUUAUCAAGAUGUCUCUAAGGCAAGUUUUAUCAUCAAGACAACAUUGACUUCCUAAGGGCUGCUUUUCUGGGGAUGCUGAGUCUUGACAGGCUGCAGUGCUUCCAAGGGCUCAUGGUGCUCUGCAGCAGAACUGCCUGAGAGGACACGGAAAGGCUCUGUUCGGCUUCCGUGAAGUUGCUGGUGCUGAAGUCAUGAGCUGAUGAGGAAGAGUGCAUGAGGGACAGAAGGAAGCACUUCUGGAGACAGGAAGGAAAAGACAAAGGUGCAUCUAUCUUCUCAUUACAAGGUAAAGGAGACAGCAUGGCACAGGAGUCAACAGCAGGGCUUGAAUGGGGGACCAGAAAAGAAGUUCCCAAAAGACUUUGAAAAGACAGAGCCCUGUCCAAACAGGGUCAUAACAACCAGGACUGGACUCUAACCUGAAUACAAAGAAAUACACAGAAUGCUUCUGUAGCUAGAGUUUUCCUGCCUUGCCCACAGUCAGGACAAAUCUUUGUCACCCGCCAGUCCCACGGCUGCUCAGACCCAACCAAGUAAACACAGAGACUUACAUUGCUUACAAACUGUAUGGCCAUGGCAGGCUUCUUGCUAACUGUUCUUAUAGCUUAAAUUAAUCCAUUUCCAUAAAUCUAUACCUUGCCAUGUGGUUCGUGGCUUACCAGCAUCUUCACAUGCUGCUUGUCAUGGUGGCAGCUGGCAGUGACUCCUUCCACCUUCCUGUUCUUUCUUUUCUCCUCUCUGUUAGUCCCGCCUAUACUUCCUGCCUAGCCACUGGCCAAUCAGUGUUUUAUUUAUUGACCAAUCAGAGCAAUUUGACAUACAGACCAUCCCACAGCACCAUGCCUCCAUGCAAAGGAUCAUAUGACGACAUUCUAAGCCUCUGUUAUGUUUUGAAUGUGAAAUGUCCCCCAUAGGCUCAUGUGUUUGACAACUUGGUGGCACUACUUGGGAAGGUUGGGUCUGUUUAGGAGGUGGGGUCUCACGGAAGGAAGUACAUUACAGGGGAUGGGAUUUGAGGUCUUAUAGACAAUAAGUCUAACUUGCUGUUUUCUUGAUGCUUCCUGAGUGUAGAUAUACUGUGACAAGGCAGCUUCCUGCUCUUGGCCACCAUGCCUUUCCUGCCAGGAUGGACGCUAUCCUUCUGGAACUAUAAGCCAAAAUACUUUUUCUCCCUUAAGAUGUUUUUGUCAGAGCACUUCCCUACAGAAACAAAGGAGAAAUUAAUAUACCCUUUAAAUGUGGGGUUUUUUUCCUGUUGGAGAUGUAAACUACAAAUUCAAUGAAAGUGUACACAUUAAGCCAAGUGCAUACAACUCAAGUCCCAACUAUUUGAGAGACAAAGACAAAAGGAUUCUAGAGGUUCAAAGCCAGCCUCACCUUAUCUAUGUACAUAACAAGACCCUAUCUCAAAAGAAAGCCACUGACAUCAUAGGGAAUGUAUUAAGAGAGCACACACAGCCACCCCAUCCCACUACCCAUCAGUUCUGAAUGCCCAUCAACAAGGACCUGGCAGGUGCACACAUAAUGCAUCUGGGGAAAAGACUGAAGCAAUGAAGUCCACAAUCUCUUUAGGAAAGAAAGACAGCUGUAGAACAAUAGGAUUUCCAUGUCCUGGGUGAAAAGUGAAGGCAUUGUAUGAAGGCUGCUUUUAAUAUGAAAAGGAAGGUUUGUUUCUACAGGAAGUAUCACCAGAAGAAUGUAUAAGAAAGUGGUCCUCUUCUGGAGGAGGACACAAAUGGGGCCUGCUGUGGGAAGCUUACUUCACUCUCAUUUGAUCUUUUGCUGUAUUGUUUGAAUCCUAUGCUAUGUGUAUGCCUGUUUUAAAAUAUUAGAAGCACAGAAUUAACACCAUACAUCACAGCUUGUUCUAUGGACACAUUUCUCUUUCCAUGCCCACCUGCCUGCUCAAAAAUGGCUCUACAUUCUGUCUGCUCUAUAAACCUCCACCCUUAAAUCCGUAGUCAUUCCUAGACUGCGUGCACCUGGGCACACUCAAUUUUUCUCAAUUAUUUUUUGUCUGCUUUUCCUGCUCUAUAGUUGUUUUGAGACAGAGUCUCAUGUAGCCCAGACUGCCCUUGAAUUUUUUGUGUACUUAAGGAUGGCCUUGCACUUUUGAUACUCUUGCCUGUAGCUGCCUGGUGCUUUGAUUACAAGCAUGUGCCACUGUGCCCAGUUUAUAUGAUGCCUGGAUCGGUUCCAUGGCCCCGUGUUUGCUAGCACACUGUCAACUGACUGUACCCUCAGGCGCUCUCAACUCCUUCUUCAUUAAUUGAAGCUAAUGCUUGGGGAAGUGUUCAGAGCCUCAUGGGAAAGCCUCUGCUUGAACUCUGUGCUGCUGAUAAACUUACUCUCUCGUGGCCAGGAACAAACGGUAUCUUUCUGACUUUUGUUUACCACUCUAGCUUCCUUAUCGUUUCCUCAGUCAUCCCACGUUUUUCUUGUCCACAGAAUACUGGGUCAGAACCCCUAAAGAACUAAUGUAUAAUUUUUACAAUUAAAACAAAAAAGAAACGAAUGAGCUUUGGAAAGUAAAGAUGAGAACCAUUUCCAAGAACUCAUGCUUGAAGGCAGGUGUGCCUUGGAGACUUUGAGUCCCAAGUACAAGAAGGACCUUUGUCUCAUAUGCCUUUGACUCCCAAAUGCUCGCUUUGCCCUAUAGUCUCUACUCAGAAAAUAAAGUAGGAGGUAAAAUACAUUUUUGGAGAUGCAGUUUUCUAUGCUAUUGCCAUUUCAUCACAGAAGUUAAUCUGGAGCACAAUCAGCCUUGUCAUCAAACUUCAGAAAUCUGAACCUUAAGUGUUGCACAAAAUAGCAGUUUGCAUCCAGUCUUAACCUGUAAUGUUGGUUCUGUUGUCUUCAACUUCAUGUUUUUAUUUAUUCUAGCUCCUGUGAACCCAAAAUAUGAAACAAAAAUUAUGAUAUUUUUAUUUAACUGAGAAAGGAGAAUGCAAGCUGUUAAACCAAGGACCUUUCUUAAACCGUCUUCCAACACUUUAUGCGAUCAGUCAUAAUAUUUAUAUGUACUCAAGCACUUUGAAAUCUCAAGCUGUUUGAACCAGCUGUCAUGUUUGUGUCAAACUGCGGUCAUUUGAAUGUGAAACAAGGGUCAAUGGCAGUGGUGGGGGCGGUAUGUCUUCUUCCUUUCCUAUUAGUGAAAUCAUUUACAGCUAUGGAACUCUGCUUCAAUGCUUCAGCAAUGAGUCCCUGCUGCAGAUUCCUGUUAUCUAGGUCACAUGGAAUUUCAUGAUUGUUCCCAAGCAAACUAUGUAGAAGAAAAGUGUUAAAUAUGUAAAUAACUAUCAACAACCAAAUAUACACACUGCCCAGUCCUGUAUAUGUAUUUUUGGCAUUAACCAAGACACAUUUAUAUCUGAGACUGAUUUCUAGUAUGUAUGUAAUGCCAAUUGAUUUCUGUCUUUUUGAAUAUGUCUGAAAGAAAAUGCAUGGUGACUUUUUAUUGCCUGUUUCAGGAUUUGUAAAAAAAUAAACUUUUAAUGCAAUAUUGGCUUUUAAAUUUUAGUGGAAAAUAAAUUGCUUAUGCCUGAA
Molecule: long non-coding RNA, 3885 nt
Organism: Peromyscus californicus insignis
Lineage: Eukaryota; Metazoa; Chordata; Mammalia; Rodentia; Cricetidae
Exons: 5
Source: RefSeq, a predicted model, not a curated record